Molecule: ribosomal RNA, 816 nt
Filed under: uncultured Actinomycetes bacterium
Lineage: Bacteria; Bacillati; Actinomycetota; Actinomycetes
Description: bacterial SSU rRNA
Rfam family: Bacterial small subunit ribosomal RNA
Source: RNAcentral
CAAGUCGAACGCGAAAGUUCCCUUCGGGGAGCGAGUAGAGUGGCGCACGGGUGAGUAACACGUAGGUAAUCUACCUUUGGAUUGGGAAUAACAACCGGAAACGGUUGCUAAUACCGAAUAAUGCAGCGGCACCUAAUGGUGACAGUUGUUAAAGCGGGGGAUCGCAAGACCUCGCGUCUAAAGAGGAGCCUGCGGCGGAUUAGCUAGUUGGUAAGGUAACGGCUUACCAAGGCGAUGAUCCGUAGCCGGCCUGAGAGGGCGGUCGGCCACACUGACACUGACAUACGGGUCAGACUCCUACGGGAGGCAGCAGUCGGGAAUUUUGGGCAAUGGGCGAAAGCCUGACCCAGCAACGCCGCGUGAAGGAUGAAAUCCUUCGGGAUGUAAACUUCGCAAGAACAGGAAGAAUAAGUCGGUGCAAAUACCACCGACGAUGACGGUACUGUUUGUAAGCUCCGGCUAACUCCGUGCCAGCAGCCGCGGUAAUACGGGGGGAGCAAGCGUUGUUCGGAUUUACUGGGCGUAAAGGGCGGGUAGGCGGCCACCGCAAGUCAGUUGUGAAAUCUCCGGGCUUAACCCGGAAAGGUCAACUGAUACUGCGGGGCUAGAGUGCAGAAGGGGCAACUGGAAUUCUCGGUGUAGCGGUGAAAUGCGUAGAUAUCGAGAGGAACACCUGCGGCGAAGGCGGGUUGCUGGGCUGACACUGACGCUGAACUGCGAAAGCUAGGGGAGCGAACGGGAUUAGAUACCCCGGUAGUCCUAGCCUUAAACGAUGAAUGCUUGGUGUCUGGGGUUUUAUAGUCCCCGGGUGCCGUC